GCGACACGGAUCGCCGUCUACCUGAUGACCUUUCUCAUCGUGACGGUGGCCUGGGCGGCGCACACACGGUUGUUCCAAGUUGUUGGGAAAACAGACGACACACUUGCCCUGCUCAACCUGGCCUGCAUGAUGACCAUCACCUUCCUGCCUUACACGGUGAGCAACGCCAGGCCCCUGACACCCUGAGGCUUUGCUGGGCACCGCUGGAUUUGACCUGUCCUCAAAAGCAGACCAGCUGGAUGGCCCAGAGCCCAGGCCACACAGUUGUAGAGAAGAGAGAAGGUUCUGGGGAGAGCCAGCUGUCAGGGGCUGCCAGGGGCUUCUUUCAGGCUGGCGGGGAGGGGAGGCAGUGGCCCCGAUGAGGAAGUCACCGGCGCUCCCAGCUCCCACCCGGUCCUGAGCCCGCAGCCCCCU
Molecule: small RNA, 414 nt
Filed under: Pongo abelii (Sumatran orangutan)
Lineage: Eukaryota; Metazoa; Chordata; Mammalia; Primates; Hominidae
Description: retained intron
Source: RNAcentral